UACGGAGGGUGCAAGCGUUAUCCGGAUUCACUGGGUUUAAAGGGUGCGUAGGUGGUCAGGUAAGUCAGUGGUGAAAUCUCCGGGCUUAACUCGGAAACUGCCAUUGAUACUAUUUGUCUUGAAUACUGUGGAGGUCAGCGGAAUAUGUCAUGUAGCGGUGAAAUGCUUAGAUAUGACAUAGAACACCAAUUGCGAAGGCAGCUGGCUACACAAAUAUUGACACUGAGGCACGAAAGCGUGGGGAUCAAACAGG
Molecule: ribosomal RNA, 253 nt
Filed under: uncultured bacterium
Lineage: Bacteria
Description: partial 16S ribosomal RNA
Rfam family: Bacterial small subunit ribosomal RNA
Source: RNAcentral